CCCAAUUACUCUGUUAGGUCAAACAUGCAAAUCUGCAGUAAUUGCAUUACCUAACAGGCUGCUCUUUAGAACACAAUAGUUGGGGAUACAUAAAAUAUACAAUUACAUCUUACUACGUUUUGGUGACAGCUACGGCAAUUUCCUGCAAUAUCCUUGAAAAAUCCUAAUGAAUUAAGUCUUCCCUGAGGGAGGGGUGGAAAAGCCGAGAAGUGAAUUUUUCCAGGAUUUGCAAGAGGCAGUUUUUCACUCAGAUAGUGGCAGCGUUUACCAAACCAAGGUC
Molecule: long non-coding RNA, 280 nt
Organism: Gopherus flavomarginatus (Mexican gopher tortoise)
Lineage: Eukaryota; Metazoa; Chordata; Testudines; Testudinidae
Exons: 3
Source: RefSeq, a predicted model, not a curated record